UCCCGAAUAGCUCAGUCGGUUAGAGCAUCUGACUGUUAAUCAGAGGGUCGCUGGUUCGAGCCCAGCUUCGGGAGCCU
Molecule: transfer RNA, 77 nt
Filed under: Cytophagaceae bacterium SCN 52-12
Lineage: Bacteria; Pseudomonadati; Bacteroidota; Cytophagia; Cytophagales; Cytophagaceae
Also listed under: 7 other names
Description: tRNA-Asn
Rfam family: tRNA
About the family: Transfer RNA (tRNA) molecules are approximately 80 nucleotides in length.
Source: RNAcentral